GGGCAGAAGGUACCCCAUUGUAUGGGAUCUGAUCUGCCC
RNAcentral lists this unclassified non-coding RNA (39 nucleotides) under synthetic construct. RNAcentral describes it as "IRES RNA (39-MER) from synthetic construct (PDB 2NBY, chain A)". The record is from RNAcentral.